Molecule: ribosomal RNA, 482 nt
Filed under: Salmonella enterica
Lineage: Bacteria; Pseudomonadati; Pseudomonadota; Gammaproteobacteria; Enterobacterales; Enterobacteriaceae
Also listed under: 1 other name
Description: bacterial LSU rRNA
Rfam family: Bacterial large subunit ribosomal RNA
Source: RNAcentral
AGACCCGAAACCCGGUGAUCUAGCCAUGGGCAGGUUGAAGGUUGGGUAACACUAACUGGAGGACCGAACCGACUAAUGUUGAAAAAUUAGCGGAUGACCUGUGGCUGGGGGUGAAAGGCCAAUCAAACCGGGAGAUAGCUGGUUCUCCCCGAAAGCUAUUUAGGUAGCGCCUCGUGAAUUCAUCUCCGGGGGUAGAGCACUGUUUCGGCUAGGGGGUCAUCCCGACUUACCAACCCGAUGCAAACUGCGAAUACCGGAGAAUGUUAUCACGGGAGACACACGGCGGGUGCUAACGUCCGUCGUGAAGAGGGAAACAACCCAGACCGCCAGCUAAGGUCCCAAAGUCAUGGUUAAGUGGGAAACGAUGUGGGAAGGCCCAGACAGCCAGGAUGUUGGCUUAGAAGCAGCCAUCAUUUAAAGAAAGCGUAAUAGCUCACUGGUCGAGUCGGCCUGCGCGGAAGAUGUAACGGGGCUAAACCAUG